RNAcentral lists this ribosomal RNA (1437 nucleotides) under Triticum aestivum (bread wheat). Its description in RNAcentral is "partial small subunit ribosomal RNA". Lineage: Eukaryota; Viridiplantae; Streptophyta; Magnoliopsida; Poales; Poaceae. The record is from RNAcentral.
AUGACUGCACCGAAACAAGACACCAUUCUUGCUUUUCAAGUUGGACAUUUGGAAGGCCUUCGAUUCGGUGCGAUGGGAAUAUAUCUUGGACCUGCUUUGUCGCUUGGGCUUUUCGGACCGCUUUCGGGAUUGGAUUGCUUCCCUUUUCUGCACCUCAUCGUCACGCGUCUUCUCAACGGUAUUGCCGGUCCCCCGAUCCUCCAUGGUUGUGGACUUAGGCAAGGAGACCCUCUCUCUCCCCUGCUUUUCGUCAUCACAAUCGACUCGCUGCAGCAGAUCCUCGAUGUCGCGACGAACCACAACCUCCUACACAAGCUUCGAGGGAGGGGAUCACAUGUUUGUACCUCCCUCUAUGCUGAUGAUGCAGCGAUUUUCAUCUCGCCGACGCGGGAGGACGUCCAUAACCUUGCUGCCCUCCCUAGAUCUUUCGGCGAGGUCAACGGGUUGUCAACCAAUUUUCAAAAGAGCUCUGUAGUUGCUAUUCAGUGCGGUCACAUGAACCUGGAUGACAUUCUGGGCAGCCUUCCUGCUAUGCGGAUGUCCUUUUCGAUGAAGUACCUGGGCCUUCCACUUUCGAUCUGGCAGCUCAAAAGGGUUGACUUUCAACACAUUGAGGAUAAGGUUGCGGCAAGGUUGCCCCCCUGGCAGGAGUGGAACAUUACCACGAUCGGGCGGGCGGCCUUGGUGAAAUCAGUCCUCACCUCACAAGUUAUGUACCACAUCCCCCCUGGUGUGCUGCAAAGUAUCAACAAGAUUGAGCGGGCAUAUCUGUGGUCAGCUAGCGACACAACUACAGGAGCAAAAUGCAAGGUCAAAGUUCUGAGGCUGAGAUGGCCCUGGGUGGCAUGGAAGGACCCGUCUAAGUUGUGGGUUGGUCUGGGCAACCCAUGCUCCGAGGUGGAUAUGAAUCUUUUCUACGCAUCCACAGUCAUCACCUUGGGUAACAAAGGGAAGCCACCUUUCAGGGAAGCGCCCUGUGGGAUCAUCAACCUUGCCACCGGCCGAGAAGACCAUCCCCUCCAUAUUUUCUGUUUACCAUCCUCCCCCGACCCUGUAUUGCCAAAGGAGCAAUAUGGGCCACUGGUUUCUAGACCUGAUUCUGCCGUGGUCAUCCCUUUCUCUUAUUCGAGACAUUGUUCUUUCUCGGAAAGAUUACUUCAGUCCCCUUUCUCUAUUGCGUGCUCGACGAACAAGAUUCCAUGCUGCUCUUUUGUGCUUCCUGUUUCUCCUUCGUCAUGCUGUCACCAGAACUUUGCUUUCUUCCGAUCCUCCGACGCCCUAAAAGUAGGCUUGAGCGGUAGGUCACCGUCCUCGUCUCUCAUUCCCAGUGUAGGGCGGAAGAGGUCAGAGUGCCCUAGCCGGCCGCAAGAGAAGCAAAAGUGUGGAACCUAUUCAUACCCAAUCGUUGUACCAAUCCACCUUCUUCCUCUUCGCUGA